CGCACUGUGGUUUAGUGGUUAGCACGUACCCUUCACACAUGCAGGGUCGGGGGUUCGAUUCACGCCGCUGCGG
Molecule: non-coding RNA, 73 nt
Organism: Ameiurus melas (black bullhead)
Lineage: Eukaryota; Metazoa; Chordata; Actinopteri; Siluriformes; Ictaluridae
Source: the annotation of a GenBank genome assembly